Molecule: non-coding RNA, 262 nt
Organism: Odocoileus virginianus texanus
Lineage: Eukaryota; Metazoa; Chordata; Mammalia; Artiodactyla; Cervidae
Source: RefSeq, a predicted model, not a curated record
UUCCACAGAUGACUGUCCAGAGAAGUGAAUAAAAUUGAGUUCAACAGUUUUAGUCACUGAGACCAGUCACAUCCCCUUCUGCAUGGAACCAAGAUCAACGACGCAAAGAUGACUUUCCUGCUUCCUGAUUAACAGGAUCCUUUUCUCUUCACAUACACACUUUCUUUCCCGUCUCAUUUCUCCUGAUCACUGGUCAUGUGCUGUCUGGUGGUAUUUGGUUUCAGAAGGCUUAAAUAAAUUGAUUUAAUAUCUGCCCUGCAAA